Molecule: long non-coding RNA, 645 nt
Organism: Cryptotermes secundus
Lineage: Eukaryota; Metazoa; Arthropoda; Insecta; Blattodea; Kalotermitidae
Exons: 2
Source: RefSeq, a predicted model, not a curated record
CACAGUUGUACUCGUAUUUAAAUUAUUUGUUGUAUUUGAUAAUUUAAUAUGUAUCAUAGAAAUUUUGAACAUCCACCUUGGAGUGUUAAUAAAUUAUGUUCUCAACUACACAUGACUUGUUAUUUAUUGCAUAAAGAUGUAGGUUAAUUUGGUAAAGCUAUUAAACUAGGAGGAGGCUAGGUAAGGAGAUAUUACUUGGUGUUUUAAUGUGGUAAAUCUUCUGUUAAAUUACAACUGAGAUUAUGCAAGUAACAUACUAAAAAAAGCUGGUGCAUCAAUGAUAUGUCUGCAGGUACUCACUGUGUGGGCUGUCGCCGUUCUGCCUCUACCAGUGUAGUGAUAUGAGACCAGAGCUAUAGUGCAGAGUAAAUGUAACUGGUCACUUAAAUUAAUUAAUUUCUCAGAAUUAAUUGUAUCUUUAUAAAAAAACAGGACCCAUAAUGUUUUUCAUCACAUGACACACAACAUUUAUAUUGUGGAGUGGAAAUUGCUGUGUAUGAUAUGGAUUUCUUGUGCUUCGGUAUCUUUUGUUUUCUGUGACCACACGUCAGUGCAAGUAAAAUAUGAAGUAUGUCAAACUGAGGAUGAAGUUAGUGUUAGAUAUGUAUAAUGUCGAUGAUGUAUUAAACGCUGCCUUACUAUUCA